AGCGAAUUGUGAUAAUUUUACGAAUCACCGGGCAACUGUGUGAUGAUGCAAAAGAGUUUCUGCCCUAUCAACUUUCGAUGGUAUUCUAGUGGAAUACCAUGGUUUUGACGGGUAACGGAGAAUUUGGGUUUGAUUCCGGAGAGAAAGCCUGAGAGACGGCUAUCACUUCUAAGGAAGGCAGCAGGCGCUAAAUUGCCCAAUCUUAAUUCGAGGAGGCAGUGACAAGAAAUACCGAUAUUGGUCCUUUAAGGAACAAUGAUUGGAAUGAGAACAACGUAAAGACAUUAACGAGUAACUAUUGGAGGGCAAGUCUGGUGCCAGCAGCCGCGGUAAUUCCAGCUCCAAGGGCGUAUAUUAAAGUUGUUGCGGUUAAAGCGCUCGUAGUUGAAUUUCGACUGAUUGUUAUUGAGAAUCAAACUACGUUUGAUAUCUUCUUUAACAUUAAUCUUCUUUCUAAAUGAUUUAUCAUUUAGAUAUUUUACUUUGAAAAAAUUAGAGUGUUUCAAGCAGACAAAUGUCUGGAUAUUACAGCAUGGAAUAAUGAAAAAAGACAUCAGCCUUAAUUUGUUGGUUUCUUUGGCUAGUGUAAUGACUAACAGGGACAGUUGGGGUCGCUCGUAUUAGCUCGCUAGGGGUGAAAUCCUAUGAUUGAGCUAGGACGAACUACUGCGAAAGCAUUCGACAAGGAUGUCUUCAUUAAUCAAGAACGAAAGUUGGGGGAUCGAAGAUGAUCAGAUACCGUCGUAGUCUCAACAGUAAACAAUGUCGACCAAAGAUUGGGAAACAUUACAUGGAUGAUUUUACCAGCAUUUUAUGAGAAAUCAUAAGUAUUCAGACUCCGGGGGGAGUAUGGUCGCAAGACUGAAACUUAAAGGAAUUGACGGAAGGGCACCACCAGGAGUGGAAUCUGCGGCUUAAUUUGACCCAACACGGGGAAACUUACCGGGUCCGGACACUAGAAGGAUUGACAGACUGAUAGCUCUUUCUUGAUUUAGUGAUUGGUGGUGCAUGGCCGUUUUUAGUUGGUGGAUUGAUUUGUCUGGUUAAUUCCGAAAACGAACGAGACCUUAACCUAUUAAAUAGUUCGUUUAAUCAGACUCGCAAGGGUUAUUUACAUUGGAAAAGUGAUACUUCUUAGAGGGACUCUUUGCAUUUUAGUAAAGGGAAGUUUAAGGCGAAGACAGGUCUGUGAUGCCCUUCGAUGUUCCGGGCUGCACGCGCAUUACACUGAUGUCUUCAAUAAGUUUUUUUCCUAGUUUGAAAAGACAAGGUAAACUUUGAAAAGGAUAUCGUGCUUGGGAUAGUGCUUUGUAAUUAUCGCACUUAAACGAGGAAUUCCUAGUAGGUACAAUUCAUCAAAUUGUGCCGAUUACGUCCCCGCCCUUUGUACACACCGCCCGUCGCUUCUACAGAUUGAAUGCUGCGAUGAGGACUCAGGAUUGGUUUACUGUUUUAGUCUGAAAGGAUCAUAGAGUAGACUGAGAAUUUGUUCGAAUCUUAUUGUUUAGAUGAAGGAGAAGUCGUAACAAGGUU
RNAcentral lists this ribosomal RNA (1533 nucleotides) under metagenome. RNAcentral's name for it is "SSU rRNA". It matches the Rfam family "Eukaryotic small subunit ribosomal RNA", at positions 245 to 1801 of the family's 1831-position model. The record is from RNAcentral.